UGCCAGCCGCCGCGGUAAUACGGGGGGUGCAAGCGUUACUCGGAAUCACUGGGCGUAAAGCGUACGUAGGCGGUUUAGUAAGUUGGGGGUGAAAUCCUAUGGCUCAACCAUAGAACUGCUCCCAAAACUACUAGACUAGAAUCAGGAAGGGGCAGAUGGAAUUAGUGGUGUAGGGGUAAAAUCCGUAGAGAUCACUAGGAAUACCAAUAGCGAAGGCGAUCUGCUGGUACUGUAUUGACGCUGAGGUACGAAAGCGUGGGGAGCAAACAGGAUUAGAUA
This 279-nucleotide ribosomal RNA is filed under the name uncultured bacterium. Its description in RNAcentral is "partial 16S ribosomal RNA". It matches the Rfam family "Bacterial small subunit ribosomal RNA", at positions 506 to 784 of the family's 1533-position model. The record is from RNAcentral.